UCCAGGGUAACCUAGUGGACAUGGCAUCUGCCAUGUAAGUGGAACACUGUGGGUUCGAUUCCCAUCCCUGGAC
RNAcentral lists this transfer RNA (73 nucleotides) under Cordylochernes scorpioides. Its description in RNAcentral is "tRNA-Thr". It matches the Rfam family "tRNA". From Rfam's summary of the family: Transfer RNA (tRNA) molecules are approximately 80 nucleotides in length. Their secondary structure includes four short double-helical elements and three loops (D, anti-codon, and T loops). Further hydrogen bonds mediate the characteristic L-shaped molecular structure. tRNAs have two regions of fundamental functional importance: the anti-codon, which is responsible for specific mRNA codon recognition, and the 3' end, to which the tRNAs corresponding amino acid is attached (by aminoacyl-tRNA synthetases). tRNAs cope with the degeneracy of the genetic code in two manners: having more than one tRNA (with a specific anti-codon) for a particular amino acid; and 'wobble' base-pairing, i.e. permitting non-standard base-pairing at the 3rd anti-codon position. Lineage: Eukaryota; Metazoa; Arthropoda; Arachnida; Pseudoscorpiones; Chernetidae. The record is from RNAcentral.